GCCGGCGUGGCUCAGUGGUGGAGCGUCGGAUUAGGAACCAGAAGGUCAGGGUUCGAUUCCCGGUCAGGGCA
RNAcentral lists this transfer RNA (71 nucleotides) under Myotis lucifugus (little brown bat). It matches the Rfam family "tRNA". From Rfam's summary of the family: Transfer RNA (tRNA) molecules are approximately 80 nucleotides in length. Their secondary structure includes four short double-helical elements and three loops (D, anti-codon, and T loops). Further hydrogen bonds mediate the characteristic L-shaped molecular structure. tRNAs have two regions of fundamental functional importance: the anti-codon, which is responsible for specific mRNA codon recognition, and the 3' end, to which the tRNAs corresponding amino acid is attached (by aminoacyl-tRNA synthetases). tRNAs cope with the degeneracy of the genetic code in two manners: having more than one tRNA (with a specific anti-codon) for a particular amino acid; and 'wobble' base-pairing, i.e. permitting non-standard base-pairing at the 3rd anti-codon position. Lineage: Eukaryota; Metazoa; Chordata; Mammalia; Chiroptera; Vespertilionidae. The record is from Rfam by way of RNAcentral.